GAGAUAAAAACCAAAAGAAAAGCUUCUAACUUAUUCUUAUAGCAGUGAAAAUCUGUUAAUAUCUCU
RNAcentral lists this transfer RNA (66 nucleotides) under Bostrichoidea sp. 3 KM-2017. Its description in RNAcentral is "tRNA-Ser". Lineage: Eukaryota; Metazoa; Arthropoda; Insecta; Coleoptera. The record is from RNAcentral.